RNAcentral lists this ribosomal RNA (520 nucleotides) under uncultured Glomus. Its description in RNAcentral is "SSU rRNA". It matches the Rfam family "Eukaryotic small subunit ribosomal RNA", at positions 569 to 1089 of the family's 1831-position model. Lineage: Eukaryota; Fungi; Glomeromycota; Glomeromycetes; Glomerales; Glomeraceae. The record is from RNAcentral.
CGCAGCCGCGGUAAUUCCAGCUCCAAUAGCGUAUAUUAAAGUUGUUGCAGUUAAAAAGCUCGUAGUUGAAUUUCGGGAUCAAUACGUCGGUCGUGCUUCGGUACGUACUGGCGUCAUUGAUUUCUCCCUUCUGACGAACCAUGAUGUCAUUAACUUGGUGUCAUGGGAAAUCAGGACUGUUACUUUGAAAAAAUUAGAGUGUUUAAAGCAGGCUCACGCUUGAAUACAUUAGCAUGGAAUAAUGAAAUAGGACGUUCGAUCCUAUUUUGUUGGUUUUUAGGAUCAACGUAAUAAUUAAUAGGGAUAGUUGGGGGCAUUAGUAUUCAAUUGUCAGAGGUGAAAUUCUUGGAUUUAUUGAAGACUAACUACUGCGAAAGCAUUUGCCAAGGAUGUUUUCAUUAAUCAAGAACGAAAGUUAGGGGAAUCGAAGACGAUCAGAUACCGUCGUAGUCUUAACCAUAAACUAUGCCGACUAGGGAUCGGGAUGACGUUAAUUUUUUAAUGACUCAUUCGGCGCCUU